This 493-nucleotide ribosomal RNA is filed under the name uncultured bacterium. RNAcentral describes it as "partial 16S ribosomal RNA". It matches the Rfam family "Bacterial small subunit ribosomal RNA", at positions 30 to 523 of the family's 1533-position model. The record is from RNAcentral.
AUUGAACGCUGGCGGCAUGCCUUACACAUGCAAGUCGAACGGUAACAGGUUAAGCCGACGAGUGGCGAACGGGUGAGUAAUAUAUCGGAACGUGCCCAGUCGUGGGGGAUAACGUAGCGAAAGCUACGCUAAUACCGCAUACGAUCUACGGAUGAAAGCGGGGGAUCGCAAGACCUCGCGCGAUUGGAGCGGCCGAUACCAGAUUAGGUUGUUGGUGAGGUAAAAGCUCACCAAGCCUGCGAUCUGUAGCUGGUCUGAGAGAACGACCAGCCACACUGGAACGGAGACACGGUCCAGACUCCUACGGGAGGCAGCAGUGGGGAAUUUUGGACAAUGGACGAAAGUCUGAUCCAGCAAUGCCGCGUGCAGGACGAAGGCCCUCGGGUUGUAAACUGCUUUUGUACGGAACGAAACGGUGAGCUCUAAUACAGUUUGCUAAUGACGGUACCGUAAGAAUAAGCACCGGCUAACUACGUGCCAGCAGCCGCCGUAA